Molecule: transfer RNA, 1742 nt
Filed under: Equus caballus (horse)
Lineage: Eukaryota; Metazoa; Chordata; Mammalia; Perissodactyla; Equidae
Description: lncRNA (ENSECAG00000056463.1)
Rfam family: tRNA (bases 667-739)
Source: RNAcentral
CAAUGACUUAGGUUAGUUGAAAUGUGGUGAAUAACAAAGAAGAGUCAGGUAAAUCACAAAAGGUCAUCUUCCUGCUAUGAGACGUUAACGGACACCACACACCGAGUUGACACGUUCCAGAGCAGUAAACGUGAGUGAUGCAGAACAGAGGAGAGAAGUUCGUUUGACGUCUACCGGACUUACUCGUCAGAUUGCACUUUCACAAACUUCCCAGCCACCCCCACGGCCUCGCCUGACAGACAGCUGGGCACGGUCCGCCACUCCGCCCUCUGCCGCUCAGUCUCUCCAGCCCUUGCCCGAGGAAGUCCCCUGAGCUCCGCAAGUUGCUUCUAGUUUCUAAAGGAUAAUUUUCAGUCCUCAAGAGACGAAGAUCAGAGCGUCUUACAAGUACAGAAAUGCGCGUAGAACCUAUCGAGAAAUUUCUUGCAAUAAAAUGUCUCAGGAACCUGCCUAAGAUUUCCCUGCCUGGUGCUUGUAAAGCAACUGGGGCUCUGGGAGUAGCAUUUGCCUGGCUAUGAGUUACAGCGUUUAGAUGUUGUUGAUUCAAAGAAUGGGAAAGUGUACAAAGAAGAAUGGCAACUCAAUCAAGAAAAUAUCCUGAAGGAAAGGAUGGGUUUAAGGUUACUUUUACCUAAUCUAGAAACAUAAGGACCCAAAAACCGGUGGGUUUCCGUAGUGUAGUGGUUAUCACGUUCGCCUAACACGCGAAAGGUCCCCGGUUCGAAACCGGGCGGAAACAAGCAGUACCUUUUCCCGAGAAGUCUGAAUUUUGGUCCAGAAAUGUCCACUCUGAAUUUCUAUACCUUUGCACCAACUCUCAAGUCCUCGCGCUUCCUUUGCCGCCCUGGACUUUCAAUUGCAAGAAUUAUGUAACAAGACCAGAGCUGAGACUUGCUUCCUCGCCCCCCUUAACAAGUAAUCAUGUCCUAUCCAUUCCAUUGGUCAGAGAAGAUACUGCGCUUGGCUGCGGUGGCUAACCAUCCUAGGAGGAGCGCUUCCUAUCUCUUAUGGACAGGAACAGAGAAUGAAUCUCCCUGACACAAAAGUGUGGUUGAUGAAUGCAAAGAGGAUCAGGAGCCAACUGUAACUGCAGGAGAAAGAGCUGAGUGGAGAGUGGUUCCUGGAGUCAGAGAGGAAACACACUGGAAGGGAGAGAUCAAGUGGAGCCUGGUUAUUUCUUUCAGGACUUUGGCCUUUAUUCUGAUAAAAUGAGGAGAUCUUGGAUUUUAAGCAGGGAAGUAGCUUUACAUGACUUGAGUGUUUCUGCCAGCUCUAUGGAGAAUAUUUUUCAGAGAGAAAACAAUGGAAGCAAGGAGAUCUAUUAAGUCCCUCUCGUCGUGCUGCAUAUCAGAAAUCACUGUGGUCUGGACAGGAUGGUGGCGGUCCAGUUGAUGAGAAGUAGUCACAGUGUAGAUAUAUUUUAAAGACAGAGUCAAGAGACAUUCCUGAGAAAAUGGGACAAAGUUACAUGAAGACUGGUUCCAAAACUAUGCUAAAGUUUAAAAUGGUGGAAGAAAUCAUUAGGUGUCCACUACGGAGUUCAAGAUAUGGAAAGAAGAGAAUGGAGAUGGAGAAGUAAACACCACGUGCGUCCUUCUGUGAAAUUUUGGAAAAGGGAAAUAUGCCUUUCCUGCUGUGUUGACCCAACAUCUCUGGAGGGUCAGAUCUAAGGUGAUGUUUGCUCCUCUCUCCCACCAUCGCUUCAAGCAUGUGUCCUUUUUGCUUUAGACAAAGAACUCAAU